GAUGAAGAACGUAGCGAAAUGCGAUAAGUAAUGUGAAUUGCAGAAUUCAGUGAAUCAUCGAAUCUUUGAACGCACCUUGCGCUCCUUGGUAUUCCGAGGAGCAUGCCUGUUUGAGAGUCAUGAAAUUCUCAACCUUUCUGGCUUUUGCUAGUCAGGCUUGGAUUAUGGGAGCUGCUGGCUUUUGAAGUCGGCUCUUCUAAAAUGUAUUAGCAAGAUCAUUGCUGCUCAUCAUUGGUAUGAUAAUUAUCUAUAUCAUUGAGAGUCAGUUUCCUUUAUUGGAAGAUUUUGCUCCUAACGGUCUUUAGCAAGACAACAUUUGACGAUUUUGACCUCAAAUCAGGUAGGACUACCCGCUGAACUUAAGCAUAUCAAUAAGCGGAGGA
RNAcentral lists this unclassified non-coding RNA (383 nucleotides) under soil metagenome. RNAcentral describes it as "partial contains 5.8S ribosomal RNA, internal transcribed spacer 2, and large subunit ribosomal RNA". The stretch from base 1 to 120 matches the Rfam family "5.8S ribosomal RNA", at positions 35 to 154 of the family's 154-position model. The record is from RNAcentral.